CCAAAGAAAAGCCGAAUGCAGCACCACUUGAAGCAGGUCAUCAAGAACCAAUAGUUACCACUAAAUUUAGGUGCAUCGUGGCACCACGAGUUGAUACACUACAUACAACAACAGUACACUCUAUACCAGGUGUAACAACCACUAAAGAUACAUUAGAUACAUGCUUAACAUUCUGGAACUGGAAACCAGCCCCAUCUCUCCAACAAAAAUCAUUAACAUGGAAACAAAAAAGAUUUAGCAACAUCUAAUAAGCCCAACACCCCAGAAUACACAAUGGUAUUCUUGCCCAUAAGACUUUCAUGCCAUCAUUGCACGUGUAUGUAUAUAAACAAUUGCACAUGUAUAUACAAAAUUGCACAUGUACUUGCAUACAUACGUACCCAUGCUGUCAUAUAAAUUAACUUCUUAAGUAAAUUGCAAGUGGCAGAAGCAAACAAAACAUCCAGAUGUAAAAUAUUUGCCAACUUCCCAUCAAAAAUGCCUUUGUCUACCAAUCAUUUAUUUAAAUAACUUCCAUUAUUCUCUUAUUUCUUUGCUGCAGAGAUGAAUUUAUGAAGAGCUUGAAUUUGGGUAUUAAAUAUGAACUACCUUGUUAGGCUCAGUGCCUGCUGUUCAAUUCUGUCACAUUUACUAUUUAGGUUAUUCAGUUACUUCCAUUGUCAAAAAUCAUCAACAACCUUUUGUGCAGAUAAUAUUUUUACUCAGAAUGAUAUAACUUUUCGAGACAAAAUAUGAACUGGCUGCAACAAGUUGAUAGGAUGAAGGACACUUGAUUGUGAAAUAUAAAUAAACUUAUUGAUUUCCACUUUUAGUGCAGUGCAUGAUGAUAAAAUAUGAAGUUAGAAUUAAAUAUAAUACGAACUAGCACGUUCACCCACAACCUUAUGCGCAGAUAAUAUUUUUACUCGGAAUGAUCAACAGAUACAAAAUCAUCUUAAAAAAAAUAACCCCGACUUUGGACAUAAAAUAUGAACUGAGCUGCAACAAGUUGAUAGGAUGGACGACAAACUUGAAUGUUAAAUAUAAAUAAACUCAUUGUUUUUAACUUUUAAUGCAGUGCGUGAUAAUAAAAUAUAAAGUUAGAAUUCAAGUAUAAAAUUCGAACCAGCUUGUGCAUAUGAUUGCAGAAUUGAUGCAAGUAAGGUAAACUAUUGGCAUUUGAAUGAGAGUGCAUUACAACUAUUUUGAUCAGCUAAUAGAGUUAUUGUUUAAACACGUUUAAGCCGAUCAUAUCUGAGAGAAUCUAUGAAUAAUAUCUAAAUUCGAACUAGCUUGUGCAUAUGAUCGCCGACUUGGUGAAAGGACGAUUAAACUAUUGGUAUGUGAAUGAGAGCGCAUUACAGCUAUUUUUGAUCGGCUAAUAGAGAUAAAAUUGUUUUAAAAUGUUCAAGGCGAUCAUAUCUGAGAGAAUCUAUGAAUAAUAUCUAAAGGUAGAUGAUAGAUAAGUAUUAUACCUUUGGUGGUCGAAUUCAUGAAGGACAAUCCCGAUUCCUGCAUGGCUGUUGCCUUGUUUGCCUUAGUUGCAAAGUAUGUUUGUUUGGUAAACCUUGCAGUAUAAAGAUAGAAAAGGAAAAGAGGAAAAGAGGAAAAGAGAGAAGCAAAGGAAGGCACGACCAGACACGCACACAAAGUGGGGGAGAGCCGGGCAAAAUAAAGCAAAUACUCCCGUGCCAUCUCCCCCCUCAAAAACCCAAAAAAUUUAAAUUUUAUUUAAGUUUUUGACCUGCCAUGCAAGCGCACCUGCCAUGGCAAAGGUCAGGGGACAAACAGCAGCAAAUAAACAUCAAUUAACCAAACAUCUCCUCAGCCUUCGCACCCAGGUAUCCAGCAUCCUACUUCUAUCGUAUUACCUCAUAAAUCAUAAUCGAACAGAUUCACAUAUAAUAUAACCACAAACGAACCCUUUUCGCCUUAUGAUCUUACGAAAUGACUCAAGACCACCAUCACCAUCGAUCAUCAGAUUGGAAGGCGCAAAUCUUCCAGUUAUCCGCAACCACGGCUUGGUCAGGAUCCAUCCACCACCAACUCUCUUCCAUGGAGAGAUCAAUCACUAUCGGCACCAACAUCACAGCUGCUGGUCAUCUCCAAAUAAACAAAAACAAAAGCUCAGAGACAAACAUAUCAGCCAGGCAAAGAGACCUUAACCAGUCGUACGUCCAUAGAUCUCGCCACCUGAGAUCAAAGAGCUCCAAAGUUCGCAGAUCUGAUGCAAAUCGGAAACAGCUAGAGCUAAAACUUCCCCGUAACUGAUCUAGCUGAGCUAUGAAGAUGCAUCAACCACAGAUCGAUCUCCAAGAAGAAAAAGGUAAAGCCAUGCUCAACGGUUAGAUCGGAAAACGAUCUAAUCAAAAUUGAAGUUCUCAAAGACAGGAGAUAAGACAG
Molecule: unclassified non-coding RNA, 2382 nt
Filed under: Hevea brasiliensis (rubber tree)
Lineage: Eukaryota; Viridiplantae; Streptophyta; Magnoliopsida; Malpighiales; Euphorbiaceae
Source: RNAcentral